RNAcentral lists this ribosomal RNA (253 nucleotides) under uncultured bacterium. RNAcentral's name for it is "partial 16S ribosomal RNA". It matches the Rfam family "Bacterial small subunit ribosomal RNA", at positions 524 to 776 of the family's 1533-position model. The record is from RNAcentral.
UACGGGGGGGGCAAGCGUUGUUCGGAAUUACUGGGCGUAAAGGGCUCGUAGGCGGCCAACUAAGUCGGACGUGAAAUCCCCAGGCUCAACCUGGGAACUGCGUCCGAUACUGGAUGGCUUGAAUCCGGGAGAGGGAUGCAGAAUUCCAGGUGUAGCGGUGAAAUGCGUAGAUAUCUGGAGGAAUACCGGUGUCGAAGGCGGCAUCCUGGACCGGCAUUGACGCUGAGGAGCGAAAGCCAGGGGAGCAAACGGG